This 87-nucleotide ribosomal RNA is filed under the name Vallitaleaceae bacterium. Lineage: Bacteria; Bacillati; Bacillota; Clostridia; Lachnospirales; Vallitaleaceae. The record is from RNAcentral.
GUUCCCAUACCGAACACGACGGUUAAGGCAUAGACGGCCGAUGGUACUUGGUUGGAGACGACCCGGGAGAGUAGGUGGCUGCCGAAU